UGUUGUGGUGGUUGCUGUGUGUGGCAGCUCUGUAAGUGUAUCAGAGCUGUGUCAGAGCUACCACAGAGAUGACAAAGGAGAGGGCUGUGCUGAGAACUUUCAAGCUUGGAAUUUUCAGCUCUGUCCAGCUCCUACAGGA
Molecule: small nucleolar RNA, 139 nt
Organism: Junco hyemalis (dark-eyed junco)
Lineage: Eukaryota; Metazoa; Chordata; Aves; Passeriformes; Passerellidae
Source: Ensembl